AAGGCUUUAGCUUAAUUAAAGUACUUGAUUUGCAUUCAGGUGAUGUUGGAUAAAGUCCUGCAGGUCUUA
Molecule: transfer RNA, 69 nt
Filed under: Leiopelma archeyi (Coromandel frog)
Lineage: Eukaryota; Metazoa; Chordata; Amphibia; Anura; Leiopelmatidae
Description: tRNA-Ala
Rfam family: tRNA
About the family: Transfer RNA (tRNA) molecules are approximately 80 nucleotides in length. Their secondary structure includes four short double-helical elements and three loops (D, anti-codon, and T loops).
Source: RNAcentral